RNAcentral lists this small nucleolar RNA (82 nucleotides) under Grosmannia clavigera kw1407. The record is from RNAcentral. Lineage: Eukaryota; Fungi; Ascomycota; Sordariomycetes; Ophiostomatales; Ophiostomataceae.
CGGGCUAGUGAUGAUCUCUUUCCACAGUUCCCGCGACUUUCUAUGAGCGUUUUGAACUACAUGCACUACCAUCUGAAGCUUC